GAACCUUACCUGGUCUUGACAUCCCGGAGACCCUUAGGAAACUAGGGGUGCUCCAUCUGGAAGAAUCUGGAGACAGGUGCUGCAUGGCUGUCGUCAGCUCGUGUCGUGAGAUGUUGGGUUAAGUCCCGCACGAGCGCAACCCUUGCCUUUAGUUGCCAGCAGUUCGGCUGGGCACUCUAAAGGGACUGCCGGUGUUAAACCGGAGGAAGGUGGGGAUGACGUCAAGUCCUCAUGGCCUUUAUGACCAGGGCUACACACGUACUACAAUGGCCGAUACAAAGGGCAGCGACACUGCGAGGUGAAGCCAAUCCCGUAAAAUCGGUCUCAGUCCGGAUUGGAGUCUGCAACUCGACUCCAUGAAGUUGGAAUCGCUAGUAAUCGUGGAUCAGCAUGCCACGGUGAAUACGUUCCCGGGCCUU
RNAcentral lists this ribosomal RNA (419 nucleotides) under uncultured Desulfobulbus sp. RNAcentral describes it as "bacterial SSU rRNA". It matches the Rfam family "Bacterial small subunit ribosomal RNA", at positions 966 to 1382 of the family's 1533-position model. Lineage: Bacteria; Pseudomonadati; Thermodesulfobacteriota; Desulfobulbia; Desulfobulbales; Desulfobulbaceae. The record is from RNAcentral.